This 186-nucleotide ribosomal RNA is filed under the name Triticum aestivum (bread wheat). RNAcentral's name for it is "partial small subunit ribosomal RNA". Lineage: Eukaryota; Viridiplantae; Streptophyta; Magnoliopsida; Poales; Poaceae. The record is from RNAcentral.
CUGCGCAAAGGGCUCAACUCUAUCGUCGCUCUGACCGCUUGGGCCAUCUGGAAGCACCGCAACGCCGUCAUCUUCAACGGCCUUCACCCCUCCACCGACGAUCUUGUGCUUUCCAUCCAGGAUGACGCUCGCCUCUGGGCUAAGGCUGGCGCCAAGGGAUUAGCCGCUAUUAUUCCUGUAUCCUGA